ACGAACGCUGGCGGCGUGCUUAACACAUGCAAGUCGAACGGAAAGGCCCUGCUUUUGUGGGGUGCUCGAGUGGCGAACGGGUGAGUAACACGUGAGUAACCUGCCCUUGACUUUGGGAUAACUUCAGGAAACUGGGGCUAAUACCGGAUAGGAGCUCCUGCUGCAUGGUGGGGGUUGGAAAGUUUCGGCGGUUGGGGAUGGACUCGCGGCUUAUCAGCUUGUUGGUGGGGUAGUGGCUUACCAAGGCUUUGACGGGUAGCCGGCCUGAGAGGGUGACCGGCCACAUUGGGACUGAGAUACGGCCCAGACUCCUACGGGAGGCAGCAGUGGGGUAUAUUGCACAAUGGGCGGAAGCCUGAUGCAGCAACGCCGCGUGCGGGAUGACGGCCUUCGGGUUGUAAACCGCUUUCGCCUGUGACGAAGCGUGAGUGACGGUAAUGGGUAAAGAAGCACCGGCUAACUACAUG
Molecule: ribosomal RNA, 467 nt
Filed under: uncultured bacterium
Lineage: Bacteria
Description: partial 16S ribosomal RNA
Rfam family: Bacterial small subunit ribosomal RNA
Source: RNAcentral